CAGCACUUAAUUUGGAAGACUUCAUUAUCUGGCACUGAAUUUACAUAAUAGUUCAAAUCUGUCCAGCAUAGGAAAUUAAUAUACAUUUACACAUUCAACACUAAUCUGUCAAAAUUAAUCUGUCCACAGUCUUCGACUGUCACAUCAACUCAGAUGUGACGGUGAACCUGCAUAACAAAUGGUGAACCUGAUGGCAUUCAACACCAAAGUGUACACAAGCAGAUAGAACCUACAGCAGCCUUAGCAACUGCCUUGAUGAAAGAUAAGCUAACUAGUAGAAAAUAAGAGAACAAACAAAAACAAAAAGCUGGAAUUACCUUGAUGUGGUCCAACCAUGUGCGAAUCUUCUAAACCACAAGAUUCGUGGUUGAGGUGGGGGACUUCGAAGGUGUUCAAGGCUCAAUUUUGGGUUUGGGAGCUUGAAGUCGUUACACCGUCAACUAAUUUGGGAGAGACGAUUCGAAAUUUGCGAGAUGAAAUCAGGUCUUGGUUUCGCAGAUUUGGGGAAAGGGUUCAUGGCUGGGAGAGAGGAGAAAUCAUGUCUAGGUUUUUGUUUAUGUUUACACGAUUUCAAUCUAAUUUUUGGGUACGGCGUUUUUAAGAGUUGGGUUGGGAUAAUGACAUGGCAUUUAACCGCCACAUGUUAUAUUCCAUCCUCCACGUAAGCAUUGUUN
RNAcentral lists this long non-coding RNA (674 nucleotides) under Olea europaea (common olive). RNAcentral's name for it is "long non-coding RNA (OEUR_LNC002776)". Lineage: Eukaryota; Viridiplantae; Streptophyta; Magnoliopsida; Lamiales; Oleaceae. The record is from RNAcentral.